GUCCGCGCUGCGUGUAGGUGCUUCCUGGAGAGCGGGAGGAAAAGUGACUGAGUUCCUUGUUCUGCCGCGUCCUGCCCGGCUCUCCUCUGUAUCGCUCGAGGAGGAGGAGCCCCAACAGCCUGAGCUGGCCCCAGGGUCUGCGCCCCACCUUUGCGGGGGCGGGUGCUUGUUAGUGCUCUGAUACAGUUUUGGGGAGGCUGCCGGUGGGAAUAAGGGGGUGAGUGAAGCUGGAGGACGGUGUCGAACAGCCUGCACGUGUCACCUUCAAGCUGGUGGUCCAGCUGGGCAAAAAGCAACCAGCAGGUAUCAAGCUGCCCUUGAAUUCAUGGACCUAAGCAGGACCUGCUGGCGAAGGGCCACCUCAUUAGGGCUCAUGAUGUCUCGAAGGUCUGAGGUCAAUCUUUACUGACAUUGUCCUUAAGGUGGUGUUGCCAGAGGUGCAAGAGCUCCCAUUCCCUUCAGCCAGGCCACUGGUAAGGAUCUCAUGGAAUGUGGCACAUGAGAGGGGAGAGAAGUAGGGGACUGGGUGGUAUCAGAGGUGAUUCAGCAGGAGCACACUCUUUUCAGUCAUUGGGCGAACUAACCUGGCAUGACAUGUAGGGAAAAAAUUCUCGAAGGGUGUUUUGAAAGAUCAGUGCAUCAGCUUAUCGUUAGCAUGCUUAUCGUUCUCAUUGACCUGACAGUCAUGGGCAUUCCACAGGAUCCCCAGGAGCAUUGCAAGGUCCUGGUUUCUGUUGUCCUUCCUGUGUCAUGCACAAGUGACCCCGGCUACAGCCCCAGCAAAAUCAUCUGGGUGCUUGUGAGCAGGAAACCGUGCCAGUGUGAGCAGUAGGUCAGAGGAGCAAGAACUGAUCCCAAAUGGAAGAACCUCUUCAUAAUGGUGGGAUGACUCACACAACUGGAGUGCUGCAAGGGGUGCCUAUAAACUCUUCAGCCUGGAGAAAAGGAGACUUGGGGGAGAUUUUGCUGAUCUCUACAUAUUCUUAAAAGAAGGUUGUGGUGAGGUGGGGGUUGGCCUCUUCUCCCAGGUCGCAAGUGAUAGGACAAGAAGAAAGAGCCUCAAGUGCCAUUUUCCCAGGGGAGGUUUAGAGUAGGAAAAAUUCAUCACUGAAAGGGUCAGGCUCUGGAAUGGGCUGCCUGUGUGGAGUCACUAUCCUGGAAGUGUUCACAGAAUGUCUAAACGUGGCAUCUGGGGGCACAGUUUAGUGGUGAACACGGCAGUGCUGAGCUAACAGUUGAACUCAGUGUUCCUGAGGGUCUUUUCCUUAACCUUAACGAUUGUAUGGGUCUACAAUUCAAUAUUCUAUGUACCAGCAGUACAGGGGACAUUACACUAAAAAAAUAAUAAUAAUAAUAAAAAAUUAAAAAGAUGUGGUGAUUCCUGAAUCUUAAAUAUCUGCUAUGAUGGGAGAGACCAAGCAAGCACCUUUCUAUACACCUAUGUAGUUAAGGAAGGGAAGCAUUUCGAAAUGCUGAGAUUAGCUUAAGGCUUCCACAAGAAAGUACUUCUUUUUAGCACAGAGGAAAAGCCAACUGGUAUUAAGACCCACCCUACAAAGACUGACUUGCAAGUAAUUUUCCUUAGUUGUCCUCAGUAGUAAACUUCACUCUGAGGCAUUUCAGAGGAUUUAUGACAGCUGAGUCUAUCCCCCUUGUUUCAAAGCCUGUGGAGCAGCCUGUAAUUCCUUCCCCAUAGCACUACAAUGCCACUCCCAAGCCCCAUACAGCCUUGGCAGAGCCUGCUUUUGGAGUGACCACCACUCAUGAUGUUGUCACCAGACAAAGCUCCAACAAUACUCAACUGCAGAACUCAGUCUUCCUGCUCAGACGUAGAAAAUGAAACAAAAUCAAAUGGACAAGGACACGCUCCUUUGCUGUUCAAAGCAUGCAAAAGUAUAACCAGUCUUUCCAAAAGCCUGACUGAAAAUUUUCGCAAUUAUGAUCUGAUCAAGAGAAAACUUCUGAAAAUCUCAAAUGUUAGGAGAAGCUUGUAGAAACAAGAUGAAACACUUAUCAGUUCAUUACACGUUACUUUCUGCUAGUUAUCCAUAACUGCUGGAUAGUACAGGCUGGUAUUUUAACAAUUGCUUCCUCCUUUUUUGUCCA
Cyanistes caeruleus (blue tit) is the source of this 2106-nucleotide non-coding RNA. The record is from RefSeq and is a predicted model, not a curated record. NCBI's taxonomy places the organism in Eukaryota, Metazoa, Chordata, Aves, Passeriformes, Paridae.